GAGUAAUGUCUGGGAAGCUGCCUGCUUGAGGGGGAUAGCGGAGCGAAAGUUCCGAUAAUACCGCGUAAGCCCGAGAGGGGAAAGUGCGGGACCGCAAGGCCGCACGCGAGCAGAUGCGCCCAGAUGGGAUUAGGCAGUUGGGGAGGUAACGGCUCACCAAACCGAUGAUCUCUAGCUGGUUUGAGAGGACAAUCAGCCACAUUGGAAUUGAGAAACGGACCAAACUCCUACGGGAGGCAGCAGUGGGGAAUAUUGCACAAUGGGGGAAACCCUGAUGCAGCCAUGCCGCGUGUGUGAAGAAGGCCUUCGGGUUGUAAAGCACUUUUGCAUUCGAGGAAGACAGCGUAUAAAUAAAUGCGCUAUUUGACGUUAGAGUGUGAAUAAGCACCGGCAAACUCCGUGCCAGCAGCCGCGGUAAUACGGAGGGUGCGAGCGUUAAUCGGAAUGACUGGGCGUAAAGGGCGCGCAGGUGGCGAGAUAAGUUGGAUGUGAAAUUCCCGUGCUUAACAUGGGGACUGCAUCCAAAACUGUUGAACUGGAGUACUGUAGAGGGAGGUAGAAUUCCACGUGUAGCGGUGAAAUGCGUAGAGAUGUG
RNAcentral lists this ribosomal RNA (595 nucleotides) under uncultured rumen bacterium. RNAcentral's name for it is "bacterial SSU rRNA". It matches the Rfam family "Bacterial small subunit ribosomal RNA", at positions 108 to 700 of the family's 1533-position model. The record is from RNAcentral.